UACGUAGGGUGCAAGCGUUAAUCGGAAUUACUGGGCGUAAAGCGUGCGCAGGCGGCUUUGCAAGACAGAUGUGAAAUCCCCGGGCUUAACCUGGGAACUGCAUUUGUGACUGCAUGGCUGGAGUGCGGCAGAGGGGGAUGGAAUUCCGCGUGUAGCAGUGAAAUGCGUAGAUAUGCGGAGGAACACCGAUGGCGAAGGCAAUCCCCUGGGCCUGACCUGACGCUGAGGAGCGAAAGCGUGGGGAGCGAACAGG
RNAcentral lists this ribosomal RNA (253 nucleotides) under uncultured bacterium. Its description in RNAcentral is "partial 16S ribosomal RNA". It matches the Rfam family "Bacterial small subunit ribosomal RNA", at positions 524 to 776 of the family's 1533-position model. The record is from RNAcentral.